GCCGGGCCUGUAGUCCCAGCUACUCGGGAGGCUGAGGCAGGACGAUCGCUUGAGCCCAGGAGUUCUGGGCUGUAGUGCGCUAUGCCAUCAGCUGUCCUCGCUAAGUUCAGCAUCAAUGUGGUGACCUCCCGGGAGCGGGGAACCACCAGGUUGCCUAAGGAGGGGUGAACUGGCCCAGGUCAGAAACGGAGCAGGUCAAAACUCCCGUGCUGAUCAAAAGCAGUUCUUCUCAAACUCAUACAGGAACCCCCUGGUAAUUGUGUUAAUUGUGUUUUCU
Molecule: unclassified non-coding RNA, 277 nt
Organism: Ailuropoda melanoleuca (giant panda)
Lineage: Eukaryota; Metazoa; Chordata; Mammalia; Carnivora; Ursidae
Rfam family: Metazoan signal recognition particle RNA
About the family: The signal recognition particle (SRP) is a universally conserved ribonucleoprotein. It is involved in the co-translational targeting of proteins to membranes. The eukaryotic SRP consists of a 300-nucleotide 7S RNA and six proteins: SRPs 72, 68, 54, 19, 14, and 9.
Source: Ensembl